UACAGAGGGUGCAAGCGUUAAUCGGAAUUACUGGGCGUAAAGCGCGCGUAGGUGGUUAUGUAAGUUGGAUGUGAAAGCCCGGGCUUAACCUGGGAAUGGCAUUCAAACUGCAGGGCUAGAGUACGGGAGAGGGGGGUAGAAGUUCCAGGUGUAGCGGUGAAAUGCGUAGAGAUCUGGAGGAUACCGAUGGCGAAGGCAGCCCCCUGGCCUCGAGUACUGACACUGAGGUGCGAAAGCAUGGGGAGCGAAAC
RNAcentral lists this ribosomal RNA (251 nucleotides) under uncultured bacterium. RNAcentral's name for it is "partial 16S ribosomal RNA". It matches the Rfam family "Bacterial small subunit ribosomal RNA", at positions 524 to 774 of the family's 1533-position model. The record is from RNAcentral.